This 301-nucleotide ribosomal RNA is filed under the name uncultured bacterium. RNAcentral's name for it is "partial 16S ribosomal RNA". It matches the Rfam family "Bacterial small subunit ribosomal RNA", at positions 509 to 807 of the family's 1533-position model. The record is from RNAcentral.
CAGUAGCCACGGUAAUACGUAGGUGGCAAGCGUUGUCCGGAAUUAUUGGGCGUAAAGGGCUCGCAGGCGGUUUCUUAAGUCUGAUGUGAAAGCCCCCGGCUCAACCGGGGAGGGUCAUUGGAAACUGGGAAACUUGAGUGCAGAAGAGGAGAGUGGAAUUCCACGUGUAGCGGUGAAAUGCGUAGAGAUGUGGGGGAACACCAGUGGCGAAGGCGACUCUCUGGUCUGUAACUGACGCUGAGGAGCGAAAGCGUGGGGAGCGAACAGGAUUAGAUACCCCUGUAGUCCCUGUCUCUUAUAC